UACAGAGGUGGCAAGCGUUGUUCGGAAUUACUGGGCGUAAAGGGCGCGUAGGCGGCCUUCUAAGUCAGACGUGAAAUCCCCCGGCUUAACCUGGGAACUGCGUCUGAUACUGGGAGGCUUGAGUAUGGGAGAGGUAUGUGGAACUCCGAGUGUAGAGGUGAAAUUCGUAGAUAUUCGGAAGAACACCAGUGGCGAAGGCGACAUACUGGUCCGUUACUGACGCUGAGGCUCGAAAGCGUGGGGAGCAAACAGG
RNAcentral lists this ribosomal RNA (253 nucleotides) under uncultured bacterium. RNAcentral's name for it is "partial 16S ribosomal RNA". It matches the Rfam family "Bacterial small subunit ribosomal RNA", at positions 524 to 776 of the family's 1533-position model. The record is from RNAcentral.